This 253-nucleotide ribosomal RNA is filed under the name uncultured bacterium. RNAcentral describes it as "partial 16S ribosomal RNA". It matches the Rfam family "Bacterial small subunit ribosomal RNA", at positions 524 to 776 of the family's 1533-position model. The record is from RNAcentral.
UACGUAGGUGGCAAGCGUUGUCCGGAUUUACUGGGCGUAAAGAGCGCGCAGGCGGUCGUUCAAGUCGCGUGUGAAAGCUCCCGGCUCAACUGGGGAGGGUCACGCGAUACUGAUCGACUCGAAGGCAGGAGAGGGUAGUGGAAUUCCCGGUGUAGUGGUGAAAUGCGCAGAUAUCAGGAGGAACACCGGUGGCGAAGGCGGUUCUCUGGGCCUUACCUGACGCUGAGGAGCGAAGGCAUGGGGAGCAAACAGG